RNAcentral lists this ribosomal RNA (427 nucleotides) under uncultured archaeon. RNAcentral's name for it is "bacterial SSU rRNA". It matches the Rfam family "Archaeal small subunit ribosomal RNA", at positions 474 to 903 of the family's 1478-position model. The record is from RNAcentral.
UACCAGCUCUCCGAGUGGUAGGGAUGAUUAUUGGGCUUAAAGCGUCCGUAGCUGGCUCAGCAAGUCUCCUGUUAAAUUCAGCGACCUAAUCGUUGAGCCGCGGGAGAUACUACUAGGCUAGGAGGCGGGAGAGGUCGACGGUACUUUCGGGGUAGGGGUGAAAUCCUAUAAUCCCGGGAGGACCACCAGUGGCGAAGGCUGUCGACUAGAACGCGCUCGACGGUGAGGGACGAAAGCUGGGGGAGCGAACCGGAUUAGAUACCCGGGUAGUCCCAGCUGUAAACUAUGCAGGCUAGGUGUUUGGGCGGCCACGUGCCGCUCUAGUGCCGCAGAGAAGUCGUUAAGCCUGCCGUCUGGGGAGUACGGCCGCAAGGCUGAAACUUAAAGGAUUGGCGGGGAGCACAGCAACGGGUGGAGCGUGCGGUUU